Molecule: non-coding RNA, 1064 nt
Organism: Peromyscus maniculatus bairdii (prairie deer mouse)
Lineage: Eukaryota; Metazoa; Chordata; Mammalia; Rodentia; Cricetidae
Source: RefSeq, a predicted model, not a curated record
CUGUGUGUCUGUCCUCUGUGCGGCACACUAGCUGUGUGUCUGUCCUCUGUGCGGCACACUAGCUGUGUGUCUGUCCUCUGUGCGGCACGCUAGCUGUCUGUGUGUCCUUUGUGCCCUGCUUCUCCUCUACUCUUCCUCCCCUGUGGAACCUCAAAUACACCCCACUACCGCCGUUCUCACUAGUGUGGAAUACUCCUUUCAAGUCCUUUCCUCCUGGCGUCUCCUGCCCCCUCACUAGAUGCCAGGGACUGUACCUUAGACCCGCCAGGAAAUGGCACUGUCGACCUCAGCUCAAUCCCCAAGACCCACGGGGGGGGGGGGUGGUGGUGGGAAGCACUCCUCCAAAUUGUCCUGACCCACACAUGCACAUACCCCCACCCCCGCUACAAACCAACAGAACUAGCAACACAUCUCCUGCGUCUAGGCUGUACCCACAGAUUCCUGAAAUGGGUGGGGCUUCCAGCCUCUCAGCUCCACUUUAAUCAAGUUGUACUCUACUGUCCUUUGGUUUGGGGACAGAGACUCACUGUGUGGCUAGGGCUGGUCUGAAGCUCACUGUAGACCAGGCUGACCCAGAGCUCACAGAGCUCUGCCUGCCUCUGCCUCCACCUCCCAAGUGCCGGGAUCAGCAGUGCGCACCGCCGGACCUAGAGCAGCGGCACUGUGUUGUAAGUUGUAAAAGAUGGCCGCACUGCACAUCUGAUUGGCUGUUGGGGAUGGGGUCCUUUGUGUUGCCCAGGCUAGACCCUUAACUCUUGGGCUCAAGUAAUCCUCCCACCACAGCUCCUCGACGGUCCAAUCCUUAUGUGCACACCGUCACACCCAGCGACGUUUGAUUUGAAAUAACGGUCAGGGCUAGAGAGACAGCUCCGAGGUUAAGAGCAUAGGACAGAGGACCUGGGUCCUCUGAGGACCUGGCAGAGGACCUGAAUGCAGUUCCCAGCAUCCACACCGGGUGGCUCACAGCCGCCUGUGACUCCAUCUCCAGGGGAUCGGAUGCCUCUGGCCUCCCAGCACUCACAGGCACAUAGCUACACAAAUACCCAUAAUUAAAAGUGAAGUAA